This 253-nucleotide ribosomal RNA is filed under the name uncultured bacterium. Its description in RNAcentral is "partial 16S ribosomal RNA". It matches the Rfam family "Bacterial small subunit ribosomal RNA", at positions 524 to 776 of the family's 1533-position model. The record is from RNAcentral.
GACGAACCGUGCGAACGUUGUUCGGAUUCACUGGGCUUAAAGGGCGCGUAGGCGGCUUGCCGAGUCAGGGGUGAAAUCUUUCGGCUCAACCGGAAAACAGCUUCUGAUACUGGCGGGCUGGAGGGAGGUAGGGGCAGACGGAACUUCCGGUGGAGCGGUGAAAUGCGUAGAUAUCGGAAGGAACGCCGGUGGCGAAAGCGGUCUGCUGGACCUCUUCUGACGCUGAGGCGCGAAAGCCAGGGGAGCAAACGGG